UGGUUGAUUCUGCCAGUAGUCAUAUGCUUGUCUCAAAGAUUAAGCCAUGCAUGUCUAAGUAUAAAUAACUCACAGUAAAACUGCGUAUGGCUCAUUAAAACAGUUAUAGUUUAUUUGAUACAUUCUAAAUGGAUAACUGUAGAAACCUAGAGCUAAUACAUGCCAAAUCCGAAAGGACGUAUUUAUUAGAUAUUCCUAAGAGGUGAUUCAUAAUAACUCAACAAAUCUUGCUUAAGCAAAGAUAAAUCAUAUAAGUUUCUGCCCUAUCAUGCUUUCGAUGGUAGUGUAUUGGACUACCAUGGCUUUCACGGGUAACGGAGGAUUAGGGUUCGAUUCCGGAGAAGGAGCCUGAGAAAUGGCUACUACGACUAAGGUUGGCAGCAGGCGCGUAAAUUACCCAAUCCUGACUCAGGGAGGUAGUGACAAGAUAUAGCAACUUACUUUUUAAGUGGAUUGCAGUGAGGGUAUUCUAAACCGAACUCUAAGUACUAUUGGAGGGCAAGUCUGGUGCCAGCAGCCGCGGUAAUUCCAGCUCCAAUAGCAUAUAUUAAAGUUGUUGCAGUUAAAAAGCUCGUAGUUGGAUUUUUAAGGAUAUGCUUGGGGUUUCCCAUCCAUACCUUCCCAGUCACUGACUGUUACCGUGAGAAAAUUAGAGUGUUUCAAGCAGGCUAUUGCAGGAAUAUAUUAGCAUGGAAUAACGAAUAAAUCUAGAAUCUUGGUUAAUUCUAGGUCUUGAUUAAUAGGGACAGUUGGGGGCAUUAGUAUUUAAUAGUCAGAGGUGAAAUUCGUGGAUUUAUUAAAGACUAACCUAUGCGAAAGCAUUUGUCAAGGAUGUUUUCAUUAAUCAGCGGGCUAAAGAUAGGGGAUCAAAGACGAUCAGAUACCGUCGUAGUCCUAUCCAUAAACUAUACCGACUCGGGAUUGGAAUAAAUACGUUUUAUUUCAGUACCGUAUGAGAAAUCAUUAAGUCUUUGGGUUCUGGGGGGAGUAUGGUCGCAAGUCUGAAACUUAAAGAAAUUGACGGAAGGGCACCACCAGGAGUGGAGCCUGCGGCUUAAUUUGACCCAACACGGGGAAACUUACCAGGUCAAGACAUGACAAGGAUUGACAGAUUGAUAGCUCUUUCUUGAUUUCAUGGGUGGUGGUGCAUGGCCGUUCUUAGUUGGUGGAGUGAUUUGUCUGGUUAAUUCCGAUAACGAACGAGACCUUAACCUGCUAACUAGUCUAGUUCAUUACAUGAAUAUAAACUUCUUAGAGGGACUAUGCUGCGAUAAGCACAUGGAAGUUUGAGGCAAUAACAGGUCUGUGAUGCCCUUAUAUGUCCUGGGCUGCACGCGUGCUACACUGAUGCAUACAACAAGUACCUAGUCUGUAAAGACAAGGCAAUCUCGAAUAUGCAUCGUGAUGGGGAUAGAACUUUGCAAUUAUAGUUCUUGAACGAGGAAUUCCUAGUAAAUGCAAGUCAUCAUCUUGCAUUGACUAUGUCCCUGCCCUUUGUACACACCGCCCGUCGCUCCUACCGAUACCGGGUGAUCAGGUGAAUUAUUUGGACCGUUACGCGGAAAGAUUCGUUAACCUUAUCACCUAGAGGAAGGAAAAGUCGUAACAAGGUU
This 1613-nucleotide ribosomal RNA is filed under the name metagenome. RNAcentral describes it as "SSU rRNA". It matches the Rfam family "Eukaryotic small subunit ribosomal RNA". The record is from RNAcentral.